UGACCUUCCUCUUUGUGGCAGCCUUUGAGGUACUUGUAGAGGGAUACCAUGUCCCCCCUAAGUCUUCUCAAGGCUGAACAUGCCCAGUUCUUUCAACUCUGUUUCCUUACAGUUGCUAUCUUUUAAUUCCUCCAGGGGCUUCCCAUAUUUUGUAAGAGCUGUAUGUAAAAGUAUAAACUUAGUGCAGCUAGAAUUUGUGCAUGUUUCCCAUGUGAAGGCAGAAUAUUAUGGCAAACUUCAAGAAGUUCAGUUUUGUUUUGUUUUGUUUUGUUUUGCAUCUGCAGGUAGGGAAAACCACUGUUUUUAAAGAAAAGAAUAAGUAAUGGCAAAUCAUUUUGCAAAGAUGCAAUACAUAUUGUUAUUAGAUCACUGUCUUCAUUCUGAAGUGGCUUAAGAAGGGGCUAUAAUGAAUUUUCAAUAGCUUUCCCAGUUUCAUAUUUCAUCAUUAUAAAUGCAAAUAUGCUAUUAUAUAUUCACACAAGAUAUUUACAUUUAUAUUGGUUGAAGGAAGCUCCUUGUACUACUGGUUUAUCUUACAGACACAGUGAAUGAUUGGAUUGAAUUGCUCACAAUUUGCUUGGCUGAAAGGUGGCAAAUCUAGUUUAAAAAGGGCAAGGGCAGAGAAUUGCCAAGGAGAUAGACAUGUGCAUUCACCGCUCUCUGACUAAUGGGGAUCCAUAGUUUCCAUCUCCUACCAAAUGCGUACCUCCUUCAUCAUCACCUGUUUCCACCAGAUGUAGAUCCUUUAACCUGAUUGAUCACUGUUGCAUUGGACUUGAACCAAAACUGGAAUGGGGAAAGAAGGGUUUAAGGGGGAAAAAAAACUAGUCCCCAUUUUUUUUCUUUUUUGCUUCCAUUUGUUUGUUUUUAGAUUUGUAAAGAGGACGCUGUGAAAUAAGCUUAGAAAAUCUUCCCAUCUAGGGUUUGAGUAGGCAGCUUGGUUCCCUGUUUUGCUUCCCGACAUCAUAAUCUGAAUGGCAGCAUGAAAAUGUGAUUUCUUCACACUGUCUACAUAUCUAUUAGGCCUCAGAAAGAAGGUGUCUGUUUAUGUUGAAAAAUGGCCCAGAAGGUACAGAUCAGUUAUAGAGGCUGCUGUAAAUUGACAUUCUUGAAGAAUUCUUGAAAAGGUCAAGCACAGUGCUAAGGGAGAAGAUAGAAGAAACAUGGAAAGGCCAUGAGUAAAAGACACCAUCCUCUGGACUCCACCCAUCCAUAAACUUGUGUGGAUAAGGCAGGUUGAUGACACCACAAAACGUUUGACUGACUGACCAUCGCCCUUGUCUUUCUCUCCUAAAUGUAUUUUCUGUAGUCAAGAAAAAGAGGUGCUGGGGGAACACAUGAAGGUAACAAAUGGUAGACCAAAUCAUCUGGACAGCAUGUCCAAUUCUGCAUUGAAGCAGGGCAAUUGUACACUAAAAAGCUUUGUCUGGAAACACUGCAUGUACAGAAAGUAAAUUAUGUACCCAGCAUGGAAAUUUACUAUUAUGACACAAAGAAGAAGCAGAAGAAAAUGAAAUAGCAUUUCAAAGAUCCAUUCCUGCUUCCCAACAGGUCAAUUUCCUUCAUUCUUGUAUCAAGCAAUUUCAUGCAAGCCUUACUUAGUUCUAAGCAAAGGGUUUAUUGUAACCAGAAAGCAAGGGCAGAACCCUCUUCCUGACAACAAAAAGCAUUUAAUUGCCUGCAUCCCACUGUUGUGGUCUCCCUCUGCAAUUAAUGAAACUAAUGGGUCUUUUCUUUCUUUUUUCGUCAGUCGUGUCUGUAGGUGGAGUUUUGCUUCCAGCAUUAUCUGAACAGCUGAUCUUUCCCACCAAAACCCCUGGUGCCAGGGUGUCCGAUAACUCACUGACUGCUGGAAGUGCAUUUCAGAACAAACACAUUGAAUUACCCAGAGGAUAUUUACAACUGCUGACCCAACUCCCAAUUUCCUCAUGUUGAGCCCCUUUUAAGACAAUGCAUGUUAUGGCACUCGCUGGCUCCCCAGCUGUACUUUCAGAAACUGAUUACAGACCCAAGAAUGAGAAAAUGAUGUACUUAGGGUUGUGUGAUAGGCAAGCAAGGAAAAAGACUUGGAAAAGCUUCUCAGGGGCUUUUUUUUUUUUUUUUUUUUUGGCCUUGUGUUUGUUUGUUUUUACAAUGAUAUCACUGGUCAGCCUGACGGAGAACCUCCCCUCCUUAAACAUCCUGCAUAGUCUGCCGACAACAAAUUGUGCACCACACCCUGAAAACUAGGGCUGGGAUAUACUUUCCCUAGUUAGUCAGAAAUAUUAAAAAAUAUUAUUAUUAUUAUUAUUAUUCAAGCACAAAUCUGUGUAUCACAUUUACAAGUUCAUCACAUAAAUAAAGGAAGCUAAAUUCUCAAAGUAGCACAGAAUUGUGAACGUCCAAGCAGCAGCAGCAGCAGCAGCAUGGACAACACGCAGGGUGGCCACUUGGGCUUCCCUAAAACAGAGGACUGCUUUAGUAUAAGGGAACUGGAAAAGGAAGAGCACACAGUUGCCAUGGUGAUGGUAACAAAGCCAGUCUUCCUAUGGAAGGUCAUUCAUUCUCAUCUUGGACAUAAUGUCUACAAUUACUCACCAUGUGUAUGAGUGGGAUCUCUGUGCCCUACCUGUAGAUGCUGGAAAAGUAGCUUUGGAAAAGGUCUCUUACAGAAUUAUACUGCCAAGUGGUACUUUUGCGUGUUAUGUUUGGGAAUAAUAACUUACUAAUGAAAGGUGUAUUUGGUGCUAUCCUUGGGGUAAGUGUAAUAGGCACCUUUCCCCACCCAAAUCAUCUGAUCCAGCCCCAAUAUCCAAAAAGCUACACCCAACUGAGUCCAUACAGCCUAGAUUAUAGUGUGCCACAUGCAAGAAGCAAAUUAGUGGCCUUUUAAAGGUUUAGGUGACUAAAAUUCUCUUCAGCGAUAAACCUAACUUUCAGAUACACCUUCAAAAUGUUUUUAAUCGCUUUGUUUAAUUUAAUUUACUCAUAUUAAACUGAUUCAUAUUUCCUUCAUUUAUAAGGGAAGUGUUUUCUCUCUUUUGAAAUGUCCAACCAUCACUUCUAAUGGGUGCAGCAUUCUAGCUUAGAAAGGGUAUCAAACUCAAAGCAGGUUACCAAUUCUCUAUGUGUAUAAUAAACAUAUAUCAAACAAAAUUAAAAAUGACAAUAAAUUAGCAUAAGCCAUAGACAGAAGUAAAGGCAGCACUGCAAUAACCACAUCAGCAACAGCAGACUCUGCAUGAAGACUGGUAAACCAAUGAUGUGAUGCAGAAUGUCUGCUCCUGGGUAAUAUGGAAAGAGAACGAAGGUGACCCAUGAAUGCGAAUCCACUUCCUUUCAAGGUCCCCAGUUAAACUAAAGCCACUUUCCCAUGCAUUCCAAACAUUCAUUCACAUAAACGUACAAAUGUGCCUGAAUAACACAUACGGACACUUCUGGGGAUGAUUCAUACAAUCAUUUCCUUCAGUUCCUAUAAAUUAUUCUGGUUAUCUUAGUCAUCAAAGUUCAGUCCUGGGAUCACUAGAAAUAAUGUUUAGCGGUUUCUACCUCCUGAGAUUUCACACAUCAGGUAAACAUAAGGACUAGAAACUUGUGUUGUUGUUGUUCUACUGGAAUCAGAAUAAAAAGGGUCUACUUGAUGUAUUUCUUCAGUACCAAACUUUUUGCUCAUAUGGAAGGAUUACAAAUGCGGAGAAUACACACAGCCUUAAUUAUACCUUCAAUGGCCUUCUAUAGCCUUCCAGAUUGUUAUGUUUUGUCAAGAAAAAAAUGGGCUUCCGUGUGGCCAUUCAUAGCCACUGCAAUGAGUUCUUGCAUAAAUCCUUUCAAAGGGUCUUAUGCAGGAAACAGUUCUGUGCCCCGUGUUCCUUUCCUUGUUCCAAGCAUAAUGUUUACCACACAUGAUUCACAGUAGACUGGAUUCGGCUUCAGUUAUGCCAGUGUAAACCUGGAACAUUUCCAAUGAAAUCAGAACAUUUUUUAAAAAACGAAUAUCAUCAACUGAUGUGCCUUGAUCAGAUCUGUUGUGCCUUUUGUAAACAUGAAGCCACUGAGAAGCCAUGUUAAUUUCCACCUUCAGAGUUGAUGGAGCAUCUCAAAAGAGGGCAAUAACUCACUGCUUGAGCCAGUAAUUACUUCCAGGAUACGAAAUCUCUCCUCUUGCAUAAUUUCCCAAUAAAUUGUCCAGAGAGCAGGAUCUUAAUGUGGAAAAUCUUUUAAUUAUUUAUUUAGUCAGUCUGAGAUUUUGGUAUACAAAGCAUCAACUUUUCUUAUCGAACUGUAGAUUUUCCUCAGUAAUGCUGCAAUCCUGGUUAUGUCUGCUCAGGCAAGGAGAGGAUUGUAGCCUAGGCUGCCUGCAUCUGCCACAAGCAGUGGGGGGAAAGAGCAAUUUCGGAAGGACAAAUCCAUCACUUCUGGUUUCUCAUUUUCCCAAUCAUAAAUUCAGUUUAGUUUGAAAAUUCACCCUGUCUUCAGUUUAUCCAGAAAUGUAAAUAAAAAGCUUAUGCAUAAGCAA
Molecule: long non-coding RNA, 4495 nt
Organism: Varanus komodoensis (Komodo dragon)
Lineage: Eukaryota; Metazoa; Chordata; Lepidosauria; Squamata; Varanidae
Exons: 2
Source: RefSeq, a predicted model, not a curated record